This 497-nucleotide ribosomal RNA is filed under the name uncultured bacterium. RNAcentral describes it as "partial 16S ribosomal RNA". It matches the Rfam family "Bacterial small subunit ribosomal RNA", at positions 28 to 507 of the family's 1533-position model. The record is from RNAcentral.
GAUGAACGCUGGCGGCGUGCCUAAUACAUGCAAGUCGAGCGAACGGACGAGAAGCUUGCUUCUCUGAUGUUAGCGGCGGACGGGUGAGUAACACGUGGAUAACCUACCUAUAAGACUGGGAUAACUUCGGGAAACCGGUGCUAAUACCGGAUAAUAUUUUGAACCGCAUGGUUCAAAAGUGAAAGACGGUCUUGCUGUCACUCAUAGAUGGAUCCGCGCUGCAUUAGCUAGUUGGUAAGGUAACGGCUUACCAAGGCAACGAUGCAUAGCCGACCUGAGAGGGUGAUCGGCCACACGGGAACUGAGACACGGUCCAGACUCCUACGGGAGGCAGCAGUAGGGAAUCUUCCGCAAUGGGCGAAAGCCUGACGGAGCAACGCCGCGUGAGUGAUGAAGGUCUUCGGAUCGUAAAACUCUGUUAUUAGGGAAGAACAUAUGUGUAAGUAACUGUGCACAUCUUGACGGUACCUAAUCAGAAAGCCACGGCUAACUACGUG